This 210-nucleotide ribosomal RNA is filed under the name Triticum aestivum (bread wheat). Its description in RNAcentral is "partial small subunit ribosomal RNA". Lineage: Eukaryota; Viridiplantae; Streptophyta; Magnoliopsida; Poales; Poaceae. The record is from RNAcentral.
GCUCCUAAGAAUAGUGUUAUUGUACCUACUAAAGAAAUAAAACUCAUUAUCAAAGGUAAAUAUAUGAAAAGAGGAAGAAGCCGAGCUAGAAGAAAAAUUCCCGCAGCAACCAUAGUUGCUGCGAGCCUUCGGUAUCGCAGCCGAGAUAGCGAUGGGUUCUCCACCCAUACGGGGAUGGAGCGACAGAAGUAUGGAAAUAGGAUAAGGUAG